This 1386-nucleotide ribosomal RNA is filed under the name Salmonella bongori serovar 48:i:-. RNAcentral describes it as "bacterial LSU rRNA". It matches the Rfam family "Bacterial large subunit ribosomal RNA", at positions 1563 to 2925 of the family's 2925-position model. Lineage: Bacteria; Pseudomonadati; Pseudomonadota; Gammaproteobacteria; Enterobacterales; Enterobacteriaceae. The record is from RNAcentral.
GUGACGACGAGGCACCACGGUGCUGAAGCAACAAAUGCCCUGCUUCCAGGAAAAGCCUCUAAGCAUCAGGUAACAUCAAAUCGUACCCCAAACCGACACAGGUGGUCAGGUAGAGAAUACCAAGGCGCUUGAGAGAACCCGGGUGAAGGAACUAGGCAAAAUGGUGCCGUAACUUCGGGAGAAGGCACGCUGACACGUAGGUGAAGCGGUUUACCCGUGGAGCUGAAGUCAGUCGAAGAUACCAGCUGGCUGCAACUGUUUAUUAAAAACACAGCACUGUGCAAACACGAAAGUGGACGUAUACGGUGUGACGCCUGCCCGGUGCCGGAAGGUUAAUUGAUGGGGUCAGCGCAAGCGAAGCUCCUGAUCGAAGCCCCGGUAAACGGCGGCCGUAACUAUAACGGUCCUAAGGUAGCGAAAUUCCUUGUCGGGUAAGUUCCGACCUGCACGAAUGGCGUAAUGAUGGCCAGGCUGUCUCCACCCGGGACUCAGUGAAAUUGAACUCGCUGUGAAGAUGCAGUGUACCCGCGGCAAGACGGAAAGACCCCGUGAACCUUUACUAUAGCUUGACACUGAACACUGGUCCUUGAUGUGCAGGAUAGGUGGGAGGCUUUGAAGUGCGGACGCCAGUCUGCAUGGAGCCGUCCUUGAAAUACCACCCUUUAAUGGCUGGUGUUCUAACGUGGGCCCCUUAUCGGGGUUGCGGACAGUGUCUGGUGGGUAGUUUGACUGGGGCGGUCUCCUCCCAAAGAGUAACGGAGGAGCACGAAGGUUGGCUAAUCCUGGUCGGACAUCAGGAGGUUAGUGCAAUGGCAUAAGCCAGCUUGACUGCGAGCGUGACGGCGCGAGCAGGUGCGAAAGCAGGUCAUAGUGAUCCGGUGGUUCUGAAUGGAAGGGCCAUCGCUCAACGGAUAAAAGGUACUCCGGGGAUAACAGGCUGAUACCGCCCAAGAGUUCAUAUCGACGGCGGUGUUUGGCACCUCGAUGUCGGCUCAUCACAUCCUGGGGCUGAAGUAGGUCCCAAGGGUAUGGCUGUUCGCCAUUUAAAGUGGUACGCGAGCUGGGUUUAGAACGUCGUGAGACAGUUCGGUCCCUAUCUGCCGUGGGCGCUGGAAGAUUGAGGGGGGCUGCUCCUAGUACGAGAGGACCGGAGUGGACGCAUCACUGGUGUUCGGGUUGUCAUGCCAAUGGCACUGCCCGGUAGCUAAAUGCGGAAGAGAUAAGUGCUGAAAGCAUCUAAGCACGAAACUUGCCCCGAGAUGAAUCUUCCCUGAGACUUUGAGUCUCCUGAAGGAACGUUGAAGACGACGACGUUGAUAGGCCGGGUGUGUAAGCGCAGCGAUGCGUUGAGCUAACCGGUACUAAUGAACCGUGAGGCUUAACCUU